CUUGCCCUUCCGGUCACAGCACAAGCUCGUUAGAAACCCAUAAAUACGCAAUGCGUGAAUAAAUACAGUUAGAACAAGGCAUCAGGGACAGGCGCAUGCUCCAAGCCAAAGUGUGAUGGACCCACCAGCUGCCGGUCAAACAAGUCAAUCCAAGCCCAAUCUGCUCGUACACAAAGCAAAUUUAAGAGGAUGCGGCUAGAGCUUCCGGGGCCGGUCCCACUCUCGCUCCGCAGUGGCCCGCUUUCUCUGUUGCGUGAACCGUCCCAAGGCUGCUCAGCGAACGUACAGAAUCCAAAUGACCACGAAGCGCCCCGGAGUCGGAGCCCUCGCAUCCUCCAGCCGCUCCGGUCUGUUCUGGGUCUUGCCAGCCACCUCCACCCGGCGCUGCCUCUAAGUCUUGCCGUGUCCCAGGUCUCACCUCCCGGGUCCCCUCGAUAGAGGGACCCCCUCUGACUCCUCCCGGUUACGCUGUGUGAUCUCAUCUGUGGUCUUCUUUCCAGGGCUUCUCAAAUUCUGCAACUUUCUUGUUUAUUCAAUGAAACAAGCAUACAUCGGUUUAUGGUCUACCUACCCAUGAGGUGUAAACCUCACUCUGUCCAGUGCAGCUCACUCUGUCCAGCUUGUCUAAAAGUCACCUGCUUUUAUUCAUCCGGAGCUUAAUGAACGCUCGUCGGAUGAAUAGGUAGACCUCUAGAUGUCUUAUAGUAAUAGCUCGUAGAUCUGGUUGGACGCACAUAAGCCAUUUUACAGAUCUUUUGAAAACUAUGGACUCCUCACCCUCUAGAAAAAUGACGCUGCGCACUACAGUUAUAACACCAAGGGGUUCCCGAUCCCUCAAUACUCUUGCUGUCUGUAGCGAUGUUAGGUUUGCUUAAAAUAGCAGGAACAGAAAAUCUUUUCCUCUAAGGACAUGAGUUUCAUCCAGAAACUGAGAGUGGAAGUUCUGGCCAAAUAUUUGUCCAGUUCCCAAUGUAUUCAGAGCCUUUGAAACAAAUACAGCUAUCCCUAGAAGCUCAGAGUGUUUCUCUGGUCCUGAGCUAUUGGUUCAGGCUACAGCUUGAAAAACUGUAAGUCUGCGGCUGUGCCUGUCGGAGGCCCUACCUGCCCCCACUGAAGGAGACACACACACACAGGCCUUCUGAGCUCUGAGAGCUAGUGCACAGAAGUAACAUUCCGUGCUUGUACGUGUGCUGUGGCAUCGAAGUGUGGUGCCCAGGACAGUUCCGUAACUGGUGACCUCGUACAAGCAAAGCUUGUGUAAAAAGCCUCUGUACGCUCAUCUAUGCAUAUGCUAGGGCUUCCUGGGGACCUAGACCAAUCAAGGCUCAGCAUGCUAAGAACAAGGAGACAAUAGUUCGAAAGCAUGUCUUUGCUAGAAAUCUAAGAAGUAGAAUCACACACACAGCAGAUGCGUGGAAAUAUGUUGUAGGUCAGCAGGAAUGCACAAGCAGGCUUUUCUGCUCUACGAGAUCUGUAUACUUUCAAAUUUCAAAUUUCAUUUCAUUUCAAAUUUAUAGUUGGUUUAUAGCCCAGCAUAUGGUCAAUUUUUGUAAAUAUUCCAUGUGUGCUUUAAAAUAAUAUGUAUUCUGCAGUUGUUAGGUGUUCUAUAUAUGUCUGCUAGGUCUAAUUUGAUAACUGUGCUGAUUAAAUCUCAUAUGCCAUUA
Felis catus (domestic cat) is the source of this 1664-nucleotide long non-coding RNA. RefSeq lists it as uncharacterized. The transcript is spliced from 2 exons. The record is from RefSeq and is a predicted model, not a curated record. Lineage: Eukaryota; Metazoa; Chordata; Mammalia; Carnivora; Felidae.